UGGCUAUAUCACAUUGAAACACUGGCUCUCAUCUGAUCACCAGUGUUAAGCAAUGUCAGACCUGGUCAGUACGUAGAUGGGUGACUGCUUUGGAAUACCAGUGCUGUAA
Non-coding RNA from Acanthosepion pharaonis, 109 nucleotides. Lineage: Eukaryota; Metazoa; Mollusca; Cephalopoda; Sepiida; Sepiidae. The record is from the annotation of a GenBank genome assembly.